RNAcentral lists this ribosomal RNA (497 nucleotides) under uncultured bacterium. Its description in RNAcentral is "partial 16S ribosomal RNA". It matches the Rfam family "Bacterial small subunit ribosomal RNA", at positions 28 to 507 of the family's 1533-position model. The record is from RNAcentral.
GACGAACGCUGGCGGCGUGCCUAAUACAUGCAAGUUGAGCGCUGAAGGUUGGUACUUGUACCAACUGGAUGAGCAGCGAACGGGUGAGUAACGCGUGGGGAAUCUGCCUUUGAGCGGGGGACAACAUUUGGAAACGAAUGCUAAUACCGCAUAAAAACUUUAAACACAAGUUUUAAGUUUGAAAGAUGCAAUUGCAUCACUCAAAGAUGAUCCCGCGUUGUAUUAGCUAGUUGGUGAGGUAAAGGCUCACCAAGGCGAUGAUACAUAGCCGACCUGAGAGGGUGAUCGGCCACAUUGGGACUGAGACACGGCCCAAACGCCUACGGGAGGCAGCAGUAGGGAAUCUUCGGCAAUGGACGAAAGUCUGACCGAGCAACGCCGCGUGAGUGAAGAAGGUUGUCGGAUCGUAAAACUCGGUUGGUAGAGAAGAACGUUGGUGAGAGUGGAAAGCUCAUCAAGUGACGGUAACUACCCAGAAAGGGACGGCUAACUACGUG